GAUGAACGCUGGCGGCGUGCCUAAUACAUGCAAGUCGAGCGAACAGACGAGGAGCUUGCUCCUCUGACGUUAGCGGCGGACGGGUGAGUAACACGUGGAUAACCUACCUAUAAGACUGGGAUAACUUCGGGAAACCGGAGCUAAUACCGGAUAAUAUAUUGAACCGCAUGGUUCAAUAGUGAAAGACGGUUUUGCUGUCACUUAUAGAUGGAUCCGCGCCGCAUUAGCUAGUUGGUAAGGUAACGGCUUACCAAGGCGACGAUGCGUAGCCGACCGGAGAGGGUGAUCGGCCACACUGGAACUGAGACACGGUCCAGACUCCUACGGGAGGCAGCAGUAGGGAAUCGUCCGCAAUGGGCGAAAGCCUGACGGAGCAACGCCGCGUGAGUGAUGAAGGUCUUCGGAUCGUAAAGCUCUGUUAUUAGGGAAGAACAAAUGUGUAAGUAACUAUGCACGUCUUGACGGUACCUAAUCAGAAAGCCACGGCUAACUACGUG
RNAcentral lists this ribosomal RNA (497 nucleotides) under uncultured bacterium. RNAcentral's name for it is "partial 16S ribosomal RNA". It matches the Rfam family "Bacterial small subunit ribosomal RNA", at positions 28 to 507 of the family's 1533-position model. The record is from RNAcentral.